UUGGCGGACGGGUGAGUAACGCGUGGGGGAACCUGCCUUGCACCGGGGGAUAACACUUAGAAAUAGGUGCUAAUACCGCAUAAGCGCACAGAGCCGCAUGGCUCGGUGUGAAAAACUCCGGUGGUGCAAGAUGGACCCGCGUCUGAUUAGCUGGUUGGCGGGGUAACGGCCCACCAAGGCGACGAUCAGUAGCCGGCCUGAGAGGGUGAACGGCCACAUUGGGACUGAGACACGGCCCAAACUCCUACGGGAGGCAGCAG
RNAcentral lists this ribosomal RNA (260 nucleotides) under uncultured bacterium. RNAcentral's name for it is "partial 16S ribosomal RNA". It matches the Rfam family "Bacterial small subunit ribosomal RNA", at positions 95 to 354 of the family's 1533-position model. The record is from RNAcentral.